GUGACAGCCCCGUACACAAAAGCGCAUGUGCUGUGAGCUCGAUGAGUAGGGCGGGACACGUGGUAUCCUGUCUGAAUAUGGGGGGACCAUCCUCCAAGGCUAAAUACUCCUGACUGACCGAUAGUGAACCAGUACCGUGAGGGAAAGGCGAAAAGAACCCCGGCGAGGGGAGUGAAAAAGAACCUGAAACCGUGUACGUACAAGCAGUGGGAGCACAGGUUUACCUGUGUGACUGCGUACCUUUUGUAUAAUGGGUCAGCGACUUAUAUUCUGUAGCAAGGUUAACCGUAUAGGGGAGCCGGAGGGAAACCGAGUCUUAAUUGGGCGUUAAGUUGCAGGGUAUAGACCCGAAACCCGGUGAUCUAGCCAUGGGCAGGUUGAAGGUUGGGUAACACUAACUGGAGGACCGAACCGACUAAUGUUGAAAAAUUAGCGGAUGACCUGUGGCUGGGGGUGAAAGGCCAAUCAAACCGGGAGAUAGCUGGUUCUCCCCGAAAGCUAUUUAGGUAGCGCCUCGUGAAUUCAUCUCCGGGGGUAGAGCACUGUUUCGGCUAGGGGGCCAUCCCGGCUUACCAACCCGAUGCAAACUGCGAAUACCGGAGAAUGUUAUCACGGGAGACACACGGCGGGUGCUAACGUCCGUCGUGAAGAGGGAAACAACCCAGACCGCCAGCUAAGGUCCCAAAGUCAUGGUUAAGUGGGAAACGAUGUGGGAAGGCCCAGACAGCCAGGAUGUUGGCUUAGAAGCAGCCAUCAUUUAAAGAAAGCGUAAUAGCUCACUGGUCGAGUCGGCCUGCGCGGAAGAUGUAACGGGGCUAAACCAUG
RNAcentral lists this ribosomal RNA (825 nucleotides) under Salmonella enterica. RNAcentral's name for it is "partial 23S ribosomal RNA". It matches the Rfam family "Bacterial large subunit ribosomal RNA", at positions 364 to 1191 of the family's 2925-position model. Lineage: Bacteria; Pseudomonadati; Pseudomonadota; Gammaproteobacteria; Enterobacterales; Enterobacteriaceae. The record is from RNAcentral.